RNAcentral lists this ribosomal RNA (478 nucleotides) under uncultured bacterium. RNAcentral's name for it is "partial 16S ribosomal RNA". It matches the Rfam family "Bacterial small subunit ribosomal RNA", at positions 28 to 507 of the family's 1533-position model. The record is from RNAcentral.
GAUGAACGCUAGCGGCAGGCCUAACACAUGCAAGUCGAGGGAGAAGCCCUUUCGGGGGCAGACACCGGCGCACGGGUGCGUAACGCGUAUGCAACCUACCUUUCACAGGGGGAUAGCCCGAAGAAAUUUGGAUUAAUACCCCAUAAUCUUAUUGGAUGGCAUCAUUUGAUAAUUAAAACUGCGGUGGUGAAAGAUGGGCAUGCGUCCUAUUAGCUAGUUGGAGUGGUAACGGCACCCCAAGGCUACGAUAGGUAGGGUUCCUGAGAGGGAGAUCCCCCACACUGGUACUGAGACAGGGACCAGACUCCUACGGGAGGCAGCAGUGAGGAAUAGUGGUCAAUGGUCGGAAGACUGAACCAGCCAUGCCGCGUGCAGGAAGAAUGCCUUAUGGGUUGUAAACUGCUUUUAGAUGGGAAGAAUAAGGCGUACGUGUACGUUGAUGACGGUACCAGAUGAAUAAGCAUCGGCUAACUCCGUG